CUUAUUGUAAGUUUCAACUGAAUCGUAUGCAAUGCAACUUUUGCUGCUCGUUUGAGAGGUAAGUCAUUGUAAGAUCAAUUCUCCCAUGAUUACACGUCAGGCUAUUGGAGGGAUCCUAUAGCAAAGCAAUGUAUCAUGUUACGUGAAAAGUGGACUGGGUUGUUCCUCUAGUUAAACCACAAUACAACGUAAAUGAUCCAGUUACGAGUCUACUCUACGAAUCAGAAAAUACACUCAAUGUGAUAGAGUUGGCCAUACCAAACCAUAUGUUCCAACCACGUGAUCUCCUUCUCCAUCUUUACCUUAACAUCACGAAAUUUUCUUGUCCAACCACCCUCUAGAUCCCCUCAAGAAACGAUUGUAGCCCACUUUUCCCCAAGGAUAGUCAAAAAAAAAUAUCCAGGUUGUCGAUGAUGGAUAAUGUGUCGAUAUUGAUACAUACAUUAUUAUCUAGACUACUGAAUACUCCUUCGAAAAUUAAAGCAAGAUUGAACUUGUAUGGGUCAACUUAGGGCGUCGACGAUCAGAGAAAAGCUUUCUCUAGUUGGGCACAUAAAAUCUUGUACUAUAUUUGAAGUAUUUGUCCUUUAGCCUCCUUUUUUUCCAAGACUUCAGUAAACUCAUCGCCUUUCGAGGAGAGACUGCAUUUUAGUCCCAUCACAACUACAUACUCUUGCAGUUUGAACCUUGUCAAGUGCCCUUGUACAUUAAACUAUAACUCAUUUUCCUUAUCAGUUCUAUUCUGAAUACUAGUUGUUGGAUCAAUUGGGUCGAGAAUUGUAUGUCAGAUAGCUUGGCCAAGAGCCCAAGGCAUAAGUUACCGAAAUCUUCCUACAGUCUAUCAUCAAAAUUCUCCAAUACGAUUUUCAUGAACUUGAAAUUCCUCAUUUGUGAAAUUGAGGUGGGCAAGUGCACAUUUUUGGGAACUAGAAAUUUAAAAUUUUAAUAUGCAAGAACAAGGUACAACAUGAAAGCAAAAAAGAUCAGAUUAUAAUAGUUUGUACACGUUAAUGCAAAACACACAUAUUUUUUAGAUGAAUCAAAGUUGGACAUGUCGACAUAUGAUUGCAAAAUUGAUUUGUCGAGAAGCAGUCAUCUGUCGAGAACAAUAGUGCAUCUAUCGAUAACGACAGUUCAUAUCGAUAGAUGAUUCAACUAAUAUAUCAAUAUGUUUGUUUAUGUUAUCUAUGAAGUAUUAGUAAUUAAAAGUGCCUAUUUUCUAGUUCCAGUCUAUAAUUAAAAGUGCAUAUUUUCGCAUAGUAAAAAAUGCAAAUAGUACAAUUUCUCAACUUAUAUAAUGAGAGAGAUAAAUGAACACACAUAGACAGCACAAGCAAUCGAUCCUCUUUAGACAAAAAAAAAAUCAAAUUUCAUUUGUGAAAGCUAGUAACAUGAAGAGAUAAUAAAAGUUGAAUGAUGAUAUGCCAUAUAUUUUAUUCACAACACACAUAGAAAAUAACCUGAACUAAAUUGGCAUAUGAUAAACACUCGAGAAAAGUGAUCAAAAUGUGAUAUUUAUAAUCCAUCAAUGGCAUAGGUUCCAUUUGGUUAUCUUUGGGAUGAUAAAUGGCGUACUUAACUCAAUGGUUAGGGUAAUGCUUUCAUACAGUAUGAGAAUUCAAGCAAUUAAUUGCCGAGAACAACAUUUUACCUUGAUAGAGGGUUCCAUAACUGUUAUAAUUGACAUUUACAUUUCACAUUGAAAUCGGUAUUCCAAGACAGGAAGGGUUUAGGUUAUGAUAAAUUUGAUUAGUAUAAAUUUCUCAUUAAAAUCUAAUAACAGCUUACGUAACAACAUCACUCACAUAAGUAAAAUAACAGAGCACACAAGUUGUUCUAAUCAAGUAGCUUAUCACUUAACAUUAAUAUAAAAGAGUAUAUUGCUAACUUAAUGUCAAUAUCAAUGGCAAGCAUGAUUGGAAGGAAUCCUACAUAGCAACAACAUAAGGCAACCAUGUAAUAAUCCAACAAUUAAUUAAGAGAUAUAUUAUGCAUUGAAAUGUUACAAUCAAACUCCUUCAAAAGCAAAUUGUAGAUACCAAGUUACGGAUUCAGUAAAUGGCUAAAAUUCACUUGGGGUAAUGUCAAUUUAUAAUUCAAAAUUCAUAGUUAUGGGUUCAGCAUAUAGCUAAAAUAUACUUAGUGUACUUCUCGCCCAUCUUCGUCCCCAAUUUAUUCCCCAUAUGUAAGAAACAAAAUCACAUGUUAUUAAAGGAAAUUUUACUUUUCACACUAUUUACAAUAUCUCAAUAAUAUGAACACACUUCUCAUAGUCUCAAAACAAGAAAGUCUAAAAUUUGCGAUACACACAUGGAAAUGUCGUGCAAAACAAAGAAAUUAAGAGAAAAAUCAUUACUUCUGGUAAAAUAAUAGAGACCAACUAAAAUUUCUCAAGAAAAAACAUGACCAACCAAAAUUCCUCAAGAAAAAACAUACCCCAUCAAAGAAAUAGAAUUAACACUUGAGGAAGCUAAACCUUCUAAUUAAAUCUUGGGGGAAAUACGAAAGAAAUCGAUUUAUAUAUGUAUAUAGCGGAUUGUUUGUACAUCAAAUCAUCCAUAUUUCCACUUUUAAAUAGAAAACCAACUUGCACCAUAGAAUCAAAACAAGAAAAUAAAAUGAAGCUAAUACCUGAUUUAAUGUGAACGAUAGCCAACAAAUGAAUAAAAACGACGGGCUGAGUACAAAUUUACGAUUUCAAUGCGUCUGCUGAUCUUUAAAAAUUGGGGAAAAUCUACUUGUUAAAGUUUGGAAAAAGGAAAUCGCAGCCCCGAUGACGUAUAUAGGUUUCAUUUCGUCGCUUACCUUCAGAAUUUGGAUUUAAUCCAAGUUUGAAUUUGGGAAGAAGAAACGCGUAAUUUUUUUUAAUUAGGGUUUGAUUUGGGAAGUUUAGGAUUAGAUAACGAGGGGAUGAACACUAUGGCUUUGUGGAAAUUAUUAAAG
This 2943-nucleotide long non-coding RNA is filed under the name Olea europaea (common olive). RNAcentral's name for it is "long non-coding RNA (OEUR_LNC009733)". Lineage: Eukaryota; Viridiplantae; Streptophyta; Magnoliopsida; Lamiales; Oleaceae. The record is from RNAcentral.